UACGUAGGGGGCAAGCGUUGUCCGGAAUCAUUGGGCGUAAAGAGCGUGUAGGCGGCCAAUUAAGUCCUGCGUGAAAUCUCGGGGCUCAACCCCGAGCGGUCGUGGGAAACUGGUUGGCUAGAGUGCGGGAGAGAAGAGUGGAAUUCCUGGUGUAGCGGUGAAAUGCGCAGAUAUCAGGAAGAACACCCGUGGCGAAGGCGGCUCUCUGGAACGCAACUGACGCUGAGACGCGAAAGCGUGGGGAGCGAACAGG
RNAcentral lists this ribosomal RNA (253 nucleotides) under uncultured bacterium. RNAcentral describes it as "partial 16S ribosomal RNA". It matches the Rfam family "Bacterial small subunit ribosomal RNA", at positions 524 to 776 of the family's 1533-position model. The record is from RNAcentral.